UCGAGGGUAAUAGUGUGAUCGGAUACAUCAACAGCUUUGGCUCUGAAUAUACUAGCAAUAUCGAGUACAUUUCUGCGCGCAGCAGCAUUCACAGCGAUUUUAAUUAACAUCAAUUCCCGCUCGGCAAAAGGCAAGUGUGUGAGAUCCCGGACCUGUACAUUAUAAAUUCACGGGUCAUAUAUCUUAUUCAUAAGCACGCUACAUUCAAGAAUAUGUUGGAUAUUUUGCGGAAGUACAUAAAAAAAGAAAACCAAGGAAAAUAUAGGAAAGAGUUUUUAAGGCCAAGCUCUUAUUAAUAAUUUUAUUUAGUGAAUUCUUGAUUUCAUGGGUUACAAUUACAAAGGUAAAGACCCUUUAAAUAGAUAAUAAAAUGAUUCUUGAAACUCUUGCCUAGAUAAUUAAAAUGGAUUUUCAAACUACCAAGUGCAUGAAUACUAAAGUGCAUGAAUAUCAAAGUGCAUUAGUUCCAACAGAAUAACCCUCCUUCAGUCAAUAUGCAAUAUUAGCUUAUUUACAUUCUAGGGGUUAUAUGAGAUAACCCCCUCAUACAAAUUCCUUAGAGGCAUAAAUCCAUAUUUUUAUUUACUAUUAGGGAUAACCCCUCAUUAAGGUUAAUAUCUAAUUUACCCUUAUUAUAUUCAUAAAAAUAUAAUUAAAUUAUUAUUGCUAAAGUAAAGUAUUUCAAUUUCCUUUUGAUUCUUUUUACAAUCUUUUUGUAAUUUUGAUUUAAAAAAUAUAUUUAUGUUUUUUCAAUUUUCAUUUUUUUAAUUGGUUGUUUUACCGCAAGUUUAACAAAAAAUUGAAAUCCACUACAUACUCAUUGAACACCACUAUAAAUUCAUCUUUUACAAUCUUUUCGUUAUUUCGAUUUAAAAAAUAUAUAUAUAUUUUUUCAAUUUUCAUUUUUUUAAUUGGUUUUUUUACCGCAAGUUUAACAAAAAAUUGAAAUCCACUAUAUACUUAUUGAAAACCACUAUAAAUUCAUCGAAAACCACUAUUCGAUUAAUGUAGAAAUCAGUAUGAAAUUAUCGUAAUCAACUUUAAUAUUAAUAUAAUACACUACAAACGUAUCGAAAUCGAAUAAAAUUUACAUAAUACACUACGAAUUAACGUAAUCCAUUACAAAAUUAUCAAAAUCCACUACAUUAACGUAAUAUAUGGAUUGAAAUCCACUACAUACUCAUUGAAAAUCACUAUAAAUUCAUUGAAAAACACUAUUCGAUUAACGUAGAAAUCAGUAUGAAAUUAUCGUAAUCAACUUUAAUAUUAAUAUAAUGACUACAAACGUAUCGAAAUCGAAUAAAAAUUUACAUAAUCCACUACGAAUUAACGUAAUCCAUUACAAAAGUAUCAAAAUCCACUACAAAGUUAUCAAAAUCCACUUUAUAGGUUAAAGUAAUCCACUACAAAAUUAACGUAAUAUAUGGAUUGAAAUCCACUACAUACUCGUUGAAAACUACAAUAAAUUCAUCGAAAGCCAGUAUUCGAUUAAAGUAGAAAUCAAUAUAAAAUUAUCGUAAUCAACUUUCAUCUCAAUAUAGUGCACUACGAACGUAUCGAAAUCGAAUAAAUAUUUACAUAAUCCACUACGAAUUAACGUAAUCCAUUACAAAAUUAUCAAAAUCCACUACAAAGUUAACGUAAUAACGUAUCGAAAUCGAAUAAAUAUUUACAUAAUCCACUACGAAUUAACGUAAUCCAUUACAAAAUUAUCAAAAACCACUACAAAAUUAACGUAAUAACGUAUCGAAAUCGAAUAAAUAUUUAAAUAAUCCAACACGAAUUAACGUAAUCCAUUACAAAAUUAUGAAAAUCCACUACAAAAGUUAUCAAAAUCCACUACAAAAUUAACGUAAUAUAUGGAUUGAAAUCCACUACAUACUCAUUGAAAACCACUAUAAAUUCAUCGUAAACCACUAUUCGAUUGAAAACCACUACAUACUCAUCGAAAACCACUAUAAAUUCAUCGAAAAACACUACAAGCUUAUCAUCACCCAACAUGGUCCCACUUGCUGCCAUCACCCGCUUGUGCAUGAAUCUAAACCAAAGAAAAAUAAGACAACAACGUGUCAAUUUAAUUCAUUCACUAAAAAAUGAAGAAUUUAAAAUCCACUAUAAUCUCGUCAAAACCCAGUACAAAAAUUAUCGAAAUCCACUAAAAUAUUAACAUAAUCCACUACGAAAUAAGUUAAUCCACUAACAAAUUACAACAAAAAGUAUAAUAACAAAUACUCAAAUAGUGACCGAAAACGUGAAGGAGCCUCAAAAGUAUAUUGAAAAUCUCAUAUAUAUAAUAGCUCAUUCAACAAUUCGACUAGUUGUCACUUCUAUUUUGUUAACCAUCGUGUAAAAUUUAUUUAUGGAUAUAGAGAAAAAAUGACAGCAACAAAAACAGCAGCAAACCAACAUCUUAAACAGCAGCAAAACAACACGAAAACAACAGCAAAACAGCAACAAAAUCAGCUGCAAAUUAGGAGCCAAACAUCAGUAAAGCCAAAAGAAAACAGCAGCAAAAACAGCAGCAAAAAACAGCAGCAAAAACAGCAGCAAAAAACAGCAGCAAAAAACAACAGCAAAGAAAAUCAGCAAAAUAGCAGCCAAACAAUAGCCAAGCCAAUUGCAGCUAAAAAAUACAAUAAAUAAAUUAUAAUUCUAAAUUUUCAGAAAAAAAUAUCCAAAAUUUGAGAAUAUUUUUGGAAAUUAUGGAAUUUUCGAUAAUAUUUAGUGUUUCACCUUAUUAAUUCGUAUUGUAUUCCUUACUAAAAAUUAUCAAAUCUCAAAACCCAAACAUGUUUGAAAUCAAACAUUAUCAAAUUUCAAAACCAAAACAUGUUUGAAAUCAGAAGAAUUUUUGCACUCAUUCACCGUUAUCACAAAGUUAUUCAUGUGAAUCAAGUUUUAUAUUUUUAUGGAGUUCUCUUUUUUUCAUGAAUCAACAUUAGUCUCUCUCUCUCUCUCUCUCUCUCUCUCUCUCUCUCUCUCUCUCUCUCUCUCUCUCUCUCUCUAUAUAUAUAUAUAUAUAUAUAUGUACACACACACAGGGGAAUGAAAUUCCCCACAAAUACGUACCUGGUCGAAACACCAAUAUCACGAAGAAAUGUUCUGCACAAAAAUCACUCACAAAGAUCUGUUUGUCGAUUCCAGAUCCGAUCGUCGGGAUUAAGCCUUGUCAUCAUCGAUUUUUCUGGUUUCGUCUUCUUUUGCGUUUUAUGUCAUGGUGGUCCUUUAUCCGGCCGUCAAGAGAAGAAAAGCGGAAGAAAUAGUGGGUGGAUGGGGAAGAUGGACAUAUCGGAUUCCGCCGAGAAAAGAAAAACAGAAGAAAGAGAGAGCGGAUGGUGGAUGGAUCGAGAGAAAGAGUGAGGGAGAGAAAACGUGUCUAGGGUUAAACGGCAUGAGAUUUGGGUGGGUUUGGUAAAGGGUAUAAUUGUACUAUAUAUUUUAAAAUUAAAUUAUGGAUUUAUCUCAAAGAGGUGAAAAAAGAAUGGACCCCAUCUAAUAGGAAAUGUCAUAUGAGGGGGUUUUGUCAAAUAAUCCCUACAUUCUAAGGCCUCGUUCGAUUGCCAAGAUAAGAUUAAAUAAUCUAAUGAAACCCAAAUAAAUAAUCUCGGCAAUAAUCGAAUUAUGGGUAAAUAAUCUACAAGGCAAUAAAAUACAGUUUCUCUCUGCGAUUAAUUAAUCUUGGCAUCUACAUUAGUCGAAUACAAAGAAAUACGAAGCGUGGAAUUAGAAAUGCAAUCAUUCAAUUUAGUGUAAAAGUAUAAUAAAGGAUAACACGACAGUUUGUUCUCAAAAUUGUGUAUUUUUAUUUUAUUUUAUUUUUUGGUCAGGUAACGAAGGAACCCGCAACUAACUAUACAAGUGCACUGGGUAAACCUACAUUUUCGAAUAAUAGCUUGCAAACCAUAAGAGAGACGUAAACAUGUAUAUUUACUGGCCGUUUGUCUCUCACUUCAUUGGUAUUCGUCGAAACAGAAAAUAUUUGGUUUUUUUUAACAUUCCAAACUAAACAUACAGAUACAUUGAAACAAAUAUUUUUUUGCAAUAAUAUUAUCUCAUAAUUCCCUGGGAAAUUAGAUGCUACACCUGGUUAUUUACACCGUACCUGAUGGAUUUAAACCGUACGUAGACUUGAUUAAAUAACUAUCCACUAAACACACAUACACAUGUGUGUGUGUGUGUGUGUGAUUAUGUUUAAUCAAGUCUACGUACGGUUUAAAUCCACCAGGUCCGGUGUAAAUAACCAGGUGUAGCAUAACUUCCGCUAAUUCCCCUAUGGCCGAAAAUUCCAAGUCUCAAACCAAUUUGGUGAAAUCAGAAUCCAAAAUCUCCCAAUUCAGGUGCCCUAACAUUGAAAUCCCCAAAUCCAAUUUCCCCAAUUCUUGAAAACCCUAAUUCCCAUAAUUAAAGACAUAGUCCUCAAGUCCCCAAUCGGCUAUCCCUAAUCCGAAAAUCGAAAGCCCUAAUCCCCAAAAUCCAAAACCCUAACUCUGAAAUGGCUUCCCUCACCAUAAGGUUAUGAAGAAAUUAAUUUUUAUUUAAAGUUGAAGGGUUCAUUUUGAAUUGAAUUAGUCGAACCACGUGGCAUGAUUUGAUUUAGCUUACACAUGAAGAUGGUUAGUCCUUAUUUAUGCCUUUGUUUAGAUGGCCGACUUGGUGUCUUACUUCAAAAAAAAAAAAGAAUAUGUUUUAUUAUCUGAAAUGUUAAAUGUUGUUUCAAUUUGUUUUAAUUAAUUAAGAAGUCAUGCUUUAUUAUUCUCAUUUGUUUAAUCAUAAAUUCUUUGUUUAGAUGGAAACUAUUUGUUACUCAUUUUCGUAUUGAACUUUGAUUUUUCAUAAAAAUCAGAUUAAAUGUAACGAAUUAACGAUCAAAUUAAAUUAAAUGAAAUAAUUAAAACGAUGUAGUCGGGGAAUAGAUUUCGACAAAGACUCUAUGCCUUGAACUAAAAACACUAAAUCUUCUCUCUGAGUUACAAAAUUAGGAUCGGAAUAAUGCCUAUAUGAAAUGAAAGCACGUCUUCUAACUAGGAGUCUUGUUUGCAGAUAUUCCGGCAGGUUUUAAACCGUUACAGAGAAUGUCGCCCCUCGAAAUUUAGAAUCAUAACUAAAAUAUUCUUACGAUUCGAAACAAUAAUAUUUUAUAGAAAUAAUAAUACCAAUACUAAUGUCCAACGACUUUCAUUUUAAUUUCAAUCCCUUUUCAUACUAUAGAUAAACUUAAAUUGUCCAAGAACUUACAUUCGGUUUUUCACCGGAAAGUUUUUGUUUUUAUUUUUGUCGAACAAAUUAUAUCAACUUAUAUGGAUGGUAAAAUAAUUUAUAUAUUUUUCUAAAACCUUAAUAAAUCUUUUUUUUUUUUUAAGAAGAAGAAGAAGAAACCUUAAUAAAUCUUUUGAAGAAAUGGUUUUUUUUAUGCGGUAUAAGUCUAAUUUCUAAGCAUAGUGCACAACAAGUUAAUGAAACGACUUAGUGGUUGGGAUGUAUAAUGUAUUGGAACCAAUCCAGUAUGUGCCAUUAUUUUAUUACAUAUACCUAUAUAAAAUUGAACAUGUCUGUAUAGCAGCACUUCACUUUUGUAUUUUAAUAUAAUCAUGGUUAAUUAAAAAAGAAGAGUAUAGCAAUUAAAUUAAUCAGUUUGUAAUCAGGUUCAACAUUACCAAUCGUGUAUGGUUAGUCAGUUACCAUGGUUGGAUCGAAACAAGGGAAGGAAAAAAGAACCAAAGAAGACUGAUCACUUCUCACCAUCUGCAGAUUUGCUCAAAAAGUCCUCUCUCUCUCUCUCUCUCUCUCUCUCUCUCUCUCUCUCUCUCUCUCUCUCUCUCUCUCUCAUACACAUACACACCUACACUCAAUCCUCAAGAAAACAAUAUAAUGGCAGCAGAAGCUGUUCUAGGAGCUGCUGUAAAAGUUCUACUUCAAAAUCUGAUCUCAGUUUCGGGAGAGCAAAUCAGCCUCGUUCGAGAUUUCAAGAAACACUUUGAAAAGCUAAAAGGUUCAAUUUCCAUGAUACAAAGCUUCUUGAACGAUGCGGAGAAGAAGCAAGUCACCGAUGAAAGUGUCAAACUCUGGUUAAAGAAGCUCGAACGUGUGGCUUUCGAUGCCGAUAAUGCCUUGGAUGAGCUCAACUAUCAACUUCUCUCCAAGAAUAUUCUGACCGAAAACACAAUGAACACAAAGGUACGAGGUUUCUUCCCACACUACAUUCAUCGUCUAGAAAUGGCACGUAAAAUCAAAGACAUCAUCAAGAAUUUGGAAGAGAUCAACCACGAGGCUUGCAUCUACGGCCUUCAAAAGGCGGUGGUGGGUGCAAAUGCUCCUGCUGAUGGAUCAAGCCGCCAAUCUGCUGCCAGAGAAACUGAUUCAUUCAGUAUUGAUCUAAUUUUUCUUGCAAGACAAAACGAAGUGUCUGAAAUAGUGAAGAUAAUGACUACUCUUCCAAAUGAUCAUUCGGUAUUCUCUAUCCUUCCCAUUGUAGGGAUGGGAGGGCUCGGAAAGUCAACCGUAGCCAGACAAGUAUUUAAUCACGAAGAGAUAAAGACUCAUUUUGCUAAGCGUUUUUGGGUGCAUGUUUCUGAAAGUUUUGAUGACGCGAUUCUUUUCAAAAAAAUUCUUACAUCUUUAACAAAAACAAACGCCGAACUUGGAAAUAGACAAGCUCUUCUAGAAAAUCUUCAGAGAGAUUUGGGAAAUGAGAGAUUUCUACUUGUUCUCGACGAUGUUUGGAAUGACAAUCAUGAAAAAUGGGAUGAAUUUAUUGUUCCUUAACAAGAAUUAGUUCUGCUACGGGAAAUGGCAUCAUUGUCACUACACGACUUGAAAAUGUUGCUUCACUGGUGAGAACACUUCCAAUGUGCAAACUAAACAACUUGUCAGAAGAUGAGUGUUGGUCCAUAAUCAAAUCAAAAGCAGUUGGCGAAGUUGAUGUUCCAUCGGGAUUUGAGACCAUUGGAGUAUCUAUUGCAAAAAGAUGUCAAGGUUUACCGUUAGCGGCCAAAGUGGUUGGGGAUUGUUGUGUGGUAAGUCGUUUGAUGAGUGGCUCUCUAUUGAAAAGAAUUGGCUCUCGGAUUUAGGAUAUGAAAAUUCAAUCUCCAAGACUUUAAAACUGAGUUUUGAUCAUUUUUCAUCACCAUCACUCAAAAAGUGUUUUGCAUAUUGUUCGAUAUAUCCUAAAGGAUAUGACUUCCAAAAAGAACGAUUGGUUGAGUUGUGGAUGGCAGAGGGAUUUCUUGGAGGAAAUGAUGAUAUGGAGGUUGUGGGCAACAAAUUUAUUAAUCUUCUUUUAGAGUACUCGUUGUUACAAGUUGUAAAGACAAAUCGCCAUUGCAAUAUAACAUAUUAUAACAUGCACGAUCUUGUGCAUGAUCUAGCAUCCUCUAUUUUAAAUUCAAGCGAUCAAGUUCGGCACAUUGGCCUACAAUCUAUUAGUGGUGAAUCGUGCGUUGUCUUAAAUGAACAAGCAAAUUGUCUUCGUUCAUUAUUGACCAAUGAUAGAAUAUCCAAUCUCAUGUUCUCGGAGUUCAAAUCGCUGCAUGUUUUAAUCCUGAUGGGCUAUCACGUUGAAGAGUUGCCAAGUUCAAUUAGAGUGCUAAUACAUUUGAGAUGUCUUGAUAUUUCGGACACAAGGAUUAGAUGUUUGCCAGACUCUAUUGGUCAACUCUAUCACUUGCAGACGUUAAGAGCGUGUCAUCAUUUGGUGAAACUGCCAAAUACAAUGAAACACUUGAUUAGCUUGAGACAUCUCCACAUUCGUCGUGGGAUAGAAUUCCCUCCAUGGGAAGAAUAACUUCACUUAGAACGCUACCAUACUUUGUAGUGAGAGAUGAAAACGGUUGUGGAAUUGGUGAGCUCGGAAGCUUGAAGAAUCUCCAAGGUGAACUGAAGAUUUAUAAUCUUGAAAAGGUGCGUGACAAAGAAGAGGCUAUGAGAGCAGGUUUAUUACAAAAGUCAAACAUACUCGAGUUAAAACUUUCGUGGAGGGUUGGAAAUAGAGAAGGUGAAAACAAUGAUGAGAGUGUGUUGGGCGGCCUCCAACCCCACCCGAAUUUGAAAACCUUACAGAUUUCCGGAUUCAAAGGAAAAAGUUUCCCGUCAUGGUUUUCAAAGAUGUCGGGGCUUAAUAAUCUGACGGAGAUAAGAAUUGAAAGAUGCAAAGAAUGUGAACAAGUUCCAACGCUAGGGCACUUGCCACAUCUCAAGAAUCUUUAUCUUGUCCGGCUGGAGAACGUGAAAUCCAUAGGUUCGUCAUUCUACGGAAGUAGAUCCAGUAAUACACGUAUCGCUGUAUUUCCCGCACUUGAAAGGCUCGAGUUGUUGAAUAUGUCGAAGCUGACAGAUUGGUUAGAAGCAGAGCUUAUGCCAAAUAUAGAGCUUAUGCCAAAUAUUGCAACUGAGAAUCGACGAGUAUCUCAAGAACUAGUUGUGGCCGCAUUUCCUUGUCUCGAGUACUUGAAGAUUAAAGAUUGCAGGCAAUUGACGAGUGCUCCAAGUCAUUUUCCAUGCCUUAAAGAAUUACAUAUUUUUCAAGUGGACAGUGGAUUGCCUUUGGCGAGUAUAUGUGGGAUCAAAUUAAAUUCUCUUGAAAGACUCACAAUUGAUGGAGUUGAAGGAUUGAAGUGUCUCCCAGAUUGGUUAUUCCGUAACAAUCAAAAUCUCUCGAAGUUGAAGAUAUGUGAUUGCCCUAACUUAGUGCAUCUAGUUCCGUGCUUGGAAGGUGGAAGAACUGCUCUUAGAGAGUUGUGGGUAUCUUAUUGUUCGAAACUGAGAGAAUUACCGGAUGACCUGCACGCCCUCAGUGCUCUUGAGAUAUUGAGUAUUUCCAGUUGCCCAAAUCUGAAGUCAAUACCAUAUCCACACGAAACACAUAAUGAUGAUGAUGGUGAGCAAUUAUUAUCAGGCUUGAGUUGCCUCCGUCGAUUGAGUAUUACUUACUGCAGAGGGUUGACCGAUUUUGCAAUUGAAAAUAUGAUCGAGUCGUGUGCGCCGUCCCUCGAGAAGUUGGAAUUGUUUGAAUUGACAAGUUUAAAGAUGAAUACGGGAAUGUUGGUUGGGAGCUUGCAGGAAAUGCCUCGUCUCUCGAGGUGGAAAAUUGGUGAUGUCGAGAUGAAGAUGACCUCUAAACAAUGGACGGUUUAUGGGCUUACUCAUGAUACGUACUCAAUGACAGUUGUUGGUGCCAUAAUGAAAGCGUCAUCAACCAAAUCUCUUUGUAGAUUAGAAUUGCACGGGACGAAACAUAGUGGGGGUUUACCGGAUCAGCUUCAACAUCACACCGGUGUUUUUGAGCUACGUUUAUGGGGUUUCGGAGAGAUAGAAGAAUUGCCCGAAUGUCUAUUUGGGAACAACAACACCUUUUCGGUGUUAUAUAUACAAAGCUGCAAGAAGUUGCACCGACUGGCGUCUAAAGAAGCCAUGCUACGUCUCACCAACUUAACUCAUUUAUUCAUCGACAAUUGUCGGUUGUUAAAUCUAAAUACGAAACGAGGUGGAGAUUCUGAGUGGCACAAGAUUUCCCAUAUACCCAGAGUCACAGUGGAUGGGCGUAGAAUUCGAACUAAUGCUCGGGGAAAGAAGUCAUGAUUAAGUCGGUACAAUUAAUCCCAUCUUAUAUAAUGAGAUGCUUCACUUUACCGACCGGUCUCUUGAAAGAGAUGGAGUUGUUCAUUCAGAGAUUUUGGUGGGGAGAUGGGAAUGGGAAAACGAUGGCGUGGAUUUCAUGGAAGAAGAUGUGCAUGGCAAAAUCGAGGGGAGGCAUGGGAUUUCGGGACUUGGAGACCUUCAAUUCCGCACUACUAGCCAAACAGGGUUGGAGGAUUUUGACAACCGGAUUUGCUCCUAUCUCUCAAGUAUUUAGGGCCCGGUAUUUCCGGCGGAGUGAUUUUCUUAGGGCUGAAAUUGGCACACGGCCAUCCUCCACAUGGCAUGUAUUUGAAAAGCCAGACCACUUCUCACUGACGGUCUUCAAAGGCAAAUUGGCACACGACCAUCCGCCACAUGGAUGAGUAUUUUAAAAGCCAGACCGCUUCUCACUGACGGUCUUCGAAGGCAAAUUGGCAAUGGGGAAACCACGUCGAUUUCAAGGUAAAUUCCUCUUAGCUAUGGUUUUCGCGUGGGAGAUCCGUAAUAAGGAGUUGCAUGGGGAAGUUGGGCUUUAAAGGGAAGAGCUAGUACCCUGGUGCAGUAAUUAUUUCACCACGUUCAGACAAUCUCUCAUACAACCCGGCACGAGGUAACGCGAGUUAGUUAAUCAAUUGAUUUUCUUGAUAUGAGUUCUUUUACAUAAAUGAUUAAAUUCAGUUAGGCAAAGAAGAAUAUUCAAAUUUUGUUAUUUGUUUAUCGGUGGUGGUGAUAUUAGUAAGAUCAUCAAUUGAAUCGUUACUAACGGAAGCCCAAAUAGACCCGACCCUUAUUUGAGUCGAGAUCAAUUAGUUAUGAGCAUGGCCAAGUUUGAGCAUUUUUAUUACACCCGAUUAAUUUAGCUAGCCCCAAUUAAGUACGACUACGUUAAUAGACACCGAUAAAUAAAACAAAACCGAGUAUAAUAUCAUUAAUUCUUAAAAGCGAGUUACGGCCUCAAUCAUAAACACAAACGUUGCGUUAUUUAGGCGAGACUAAAAGGAUCUUAAUCUUUAAACUUGAAAAAGUCAAGAACUACAACGGAUAGGAGUAACCACGGAGGUACCUUGAAUCAACUCCUGAUUCACGUACUAGUGCAAUUCUCCCAGUUCGAGCCACCUGCAAAAUUUCAAGCAAAAACUUUCAAACAUCGAGAAUUACAAACACCCAUACCGGUUUUGUUUAUAUUUUUACGAGGACUCCGUCAAAACGUGUAACUUGGAAAAUCAAAACGACUGUCAAAAGUGUGUUUGUUAUUUAAAAACUAUAUGCCAAGACGUAGCCAAUAUUAUACAACCAAAUAAGCUUAUAUUUGAUGCAUGAAGAAGAGCCUGCAAACGAGACUUACCUCACAAAUGCCAUAUGGUUCCAACAAUCUUUGCAAGGCAACCAUCUUAUCCAAAUCUCCAGUCAGCUGUAAUAAAUUCAAAACGUUUAAUCCAAGAACAGAAAAAAUAAAAAGGUGAACGAAAAACGAUGAAAAGAAACAACAAAGUCUGGGCUAUAAUAUGCUGUAAAUUUUAAAAAGCAUGUUAAUAAUUAUAAAAAACAUUUACCUCGAGGGUAAUAGUAUGGUCGGAUACAUCAACAGCUUUGGCUCUGAAAAUACUAGCAAUAUCGAGUACAUUUCUGCGUGCAGCAGCAUUCACAGCGAUUUUUAUCAACAUCAAUUCCCGCUCGGCAAAAGGCAAGUGCGUGAGAUCCCGAACCUGUACAUUAUAAAUUCACGGGUCAUAUAUUUUAUUCAGAAGCACGCUACAUUCAAGAA
This 11377-nucleotide long non-coding RNA is filed under the name Erythranthe guttata (spotted monkey flower). RNAcentral's name for it is "long non-coding RNA (EGUT_LNC003891)". Lineage: Eukaryota; Viridiplantae; Streptophyta; Magnoliopsida; Lamiales; Phrymaceae. The record is from RNAcentral.